This 433-nucleotide ribosomal RNA is filed under the name uncultured prokaryote. RNAcentral describes it as "bacterial SSU rRNA". It matches the Rfam family "Bacterial small subunit ribosomal RNA", at positions 23 to 435 of the family's 1533-position model. The record is from RNAcentral.
CUCAGGACGAACGCUGGCGGCGUGCCUAACACAUGCAAGUCGAGCGAAGCUUUUAAAGUGGAUCCCUUCGGGGUGAAACAUUAACUGUCUUAGCGGCGGACGGGUGAGUAACGCGUGAGAAACCUGCCUUUCACAACGGGAUAGCCUCGGGAAACUGGGAUUAAUACCGUAUGACACUCUUUUCCAGCAUUGGAGAAAAGUUAAAGCGUAAAGCGGUGAAAGAUGGUCUCGCGUCCCAUUAGUUAGUUGGUGAGGUAACGGCUCACCAAGACUGCGAUGGGUAGCCGGCCUGAGAGGGUGAACGGCCACACUCGAACUGAGACACGGCCCAGACUCCUACGGGAGGCAGCAGUGGGGAAUAUUGGGCAAUGGGCGGAAGCCUGACCCAGCGACGCCGCGUGAACGAUGAAGGCUUUCGGGUCGUAAAGUUCUC